CAGCCGCCGCGGUAAGACGAACCGUGCGAACGUUAUUCGGAAUCACUGGGCUUAAAGCGCGUGUAGGCGGGAGGGCACGUCCGUCGCUGAAAUCCCCCGGCUCAACCGGGGAACGGGCGCGGAUACGACUCUUCUGGAGGAACGUAGGGGGACCUGGAACUUCCGGUGGAGCGGUGAAAUGCGUUGAGAUCGGAAGGAACGCCCGUGGCGAAAGCGAGGUCCUGGACGUUUACUGACGCUGAGACGCGAAAGCCAGGGGAGCGAACGGGAUUAGAUACCCCCGUAGUCCCUGUCUCUUAUA
Molecule: ribosomal RNA, 301 nt
Filed under: uncultured bacterium
Lineage: Bacteria
Description: partial 16S ribosomal RNA
Rfam family: Bacterial small subunit ribosomal RNA
Source: RNAcentral